This 63-nucleotide transfer RNA is filed under the name Hybosorus sp. HYB01. RNAcentral's name for it is "tRNA-Glu". RNAcentral also lists the same sequence under 1 other name. The record is from RNAcentral. Lineage: Eukaryota; Metazoa; Arthropoda; Insecta; Coleoptera; Hybosoridae.
AUUUUCGUAGUUUAAAAAAAACAUUACAUUUUCAUUGUAAAAAUAGAUUUAAUCUCGCAAAUA